This 406-nucleotide ribosomal RNA is filed under the name uncultured bacterium. Its description in RNAcentral is "partial 16S ribosomal RNA". It matches the Rfam family "Bacterial small subunit ribosomal RNA", at positions 29 to 526 of the family's 1533-position model. The record is from RNAcentral.
AUCGAACGCUGGCGGCAGGCCUAACACAUGCAAGUCGAACGAGUGGCGGAUGGGGGAGUAAUGUCUGGGCAACUGCCUGAUGGAGAGGGUUAACUACUGGAAACGGUAGCUAAUACUGCAUACCAUCAGAUGUGCCCAGAUGGGAUUAGCUAGUUGGUGGGGUAACGGCUCACCAAGGCGACGAUCCCUAGCUGGUCGGAGAGGAUGACCAGCCGCACGGGAACUGAGACACGGACCAGGGUCCUGCGGUAGGCAGCAGUGGGGAAUAGUGCGCAAUGGGCGCAAGCCUUAUGCAGCCAUGCCGCGUGUGUGAAGGAGGCCUUCGGGUUGUAAAGUACGUUCGGCGGGGGGGCGUUACCCGCAGAAGAAGCACCGGCUAACUCCGUGCCAGCAGCCGCGGUAAUUC